UUUUUAAGAUUUAAAAAAGUGUCUACAGGACCUUAUGGCUGACCACAUAUGGAAGGCAAAGGAUGAGGUAGGUAUUUUUGCUGAGUCUUGAAAUGGAUGAUUUUUCUACUUUCCUAAAGUGGGGAAAAGUGUUUUAGGAGUAACUGCAUUGAGAGUUCCCAAGACCACUGCAGGUUUGGUGAUUUGCUAAAAGGACUCAUGGGAUGAGGCAUAUUGUCAUAUUCGUGGCUAUGAUUUAUUACAGUAAAGGGACAUAAAGCAAAAUUAGCACAAGAAAAAGGCACAUGGGCAAAGUCUGGAGGAAACCAGGCAUAAGCCACUGAGAGUCCUCUCUCAGGUUUACCUGAGCCUAGUAGUCCAGGGUUUUUAUCAAGGAUUGGUCCCAUAAACACCCUCUAUCUAGCAUGUACCAAAUUCCAGACUCUUAGAAGGAAAGUAGGCAUUCAAUAUAAACUGCAUGUUUGUACAAACAGUUUAGUUACACUUAUCAGCUAGGGAAUAGUGGGAACCCUUCCCAAAUUCCUGUUCCCAAAUGUCAGCAAGUGGCUAGCCUUGCAAGCAGGCCCUGCUAAAGACAGCAGCCUCAGUCCUGCUGAGUUAACUGAUUUCUGCACAGUAAUAUUUUAAACCAGAAAGAGUAAAUUACUUUUAUAUCAUUCUCUUUUCAUUAUCAGAGUUUAUACAUAAUAGAAACAGAUUUUAACCCUAGUCAUUGUCGUCAGCUGGCCACAUAUAUUAUAAGGAUACUUUCGACAAGUAUUAGGAAAAGAAAACAAUUCUGAAAACAAUGAAAUACUGCCAUACCUUUAAAGUCAAAGCAUGGAGCAGUAAUUUAGGCUACAUCUGCUUAUGUACUAAGAAUAGCUUUAUGAUACUUUUGGUAAAUAGAUCAGAGAGUUGUGGCUGCUUUACAAUAAAUUAAAUGUCUGUGUCUUUAUAUUUCUAUUAGGUUGUUUUUUUAGUAUUAAUUUCUAGGAGAGUUCCUUAUAUAGUAAGAAUAUUAACCCUUUUUUCAUAUAUAAUCUAUUAUUACCCUCUCUCCCUACACCUGCCAGAAUGUUAAGUCAAAGAAUUUUUGCUCUUUAUUGUCUCUAGAAGGAUUCUAUAAUUUAUCAUGAGAUUGAGUUUUUGCUUGGUUGCUGAAAAAUUGCCAUGGACUUAAAUGUGAACAUGUUGAAAAUCAAAUGGGCUGUGUUAAUUUAAUUCCCAAUCCUUAACCCACUGAGCAAGGCCAGGGAUCAAACCCACAUCCUCAUGGAUACUAGUGAGGUUCUUAACCCACUGAGCCACAGCGGGAACUCCCCAGGUAGUUUUUUAUGGUCUCUAAAAUAGCGCUGAGCACUGAACUCCCUUCAAUAGAAAUGACAAACUAGGAAAUUUACUCCAUCCAAAAAAUCAAGUACAGUAAACAAAGUUGGCCUGUCAUGUCUGUUUGUUGUAUUUUCUAACAUGCUUUUUCUUCUAUUACCUGUCAAUUGUAAAAUUGUGUUUCCUAACCAUAAGGAGCGCAAAACUAUGGUAUAGGAACAUUCACACGGGUUUUGGUAUUUUUCUGUUUCUUCCCUGUCAGCGUUCUCCCCAUUGCCUGUGUACUCAGGAACACAGUGGUAUUCUCUAUCUUUCUCUUCGGCCCUGCCUUUCAGGUUCUUACAGCCAUAGUGGUUUGUCCAUGUGCAUCUUUGCCUCCUGGGAGGCUGCUGCUGUUUGAUGUUUGUGCUGCAUAUACUUCUCCUGACAGCAUAGGAUCUCUGCACUGUGCUGGUGUGCAGAAUUCCUCAUGUGCCAGGUGUGUAUGUUGCUUUCUCUGGAGCCCUGUAGAAGCAGGCUGUGUUCCCUUAGUAAAUCCAGCUCUUCCUACCACCCAAAA
This 1867-nucleotide long non-coding RNA is filed under the name Sus scrofa (pig). RNAcentral's name for it is "lncRNA (ENSSSCG00045016442.1)". The record is from RNAcentral. Lineage: Eukaryota; Metazoa; Chordata; Mammalia; Artiodactyla; Suidae.